AAAUGAAAUAUGUGCAUUAGCCAGUGAUCAUAAUCGAUACAUGUUGUUGCCUUGCAUUACAUGCCCAACUCAAAUAUCUAUCUUCCAAUCACUCGUGCUAGAGUUCCCAUGCAACAGGCAAAUAUCAAUGCAACUGUCAUUAAAAGUGAACUAAUGUACUGAUGUUAAUAUUCUCCUUUACAAAAAUAUUCAGUAUGAAACAAGCGUUCACUUUUGGUAUCUGAAAUCAAUUACUUUUGCCAAGAAACCUGAGAACAAUCUGACCCCGUAAAAUAGGUUGAAUAAAAAUCAAAUAAAAAUUAGGGUUUUGCUGUUGACAAAUCAAGAUGCUCUCAAGUGUCCUUAUAAACCUUUCAAGCUGGUAACUGAAGCUUCUUGUUGUUUUUCCAGCUCUCAAAGUAAUAAUAGAAAAAGUCAGCAUAAAGCAGUGUCUGCACAAGCCCAGAUAUCCAAGCUGCAGGCAAUUCCCACAAAAUAGAUCAUCAGUGUAGAGAUUAUACCCAAAGAAAAAAGGAAAAGAAAAUGGGAAAGGAUGAUAAAUAAAAUAAUAAUGCAAACCAAGACAGAGAGUAACAAAUGAAACUAUACGUAUUAUUUGUAUUUAAUUGUUGUAGCCUUCAUCAAGGCAAAACGUGCAUAAAUGAAUCAGGGUAACUUUCCAAAUUGAUAUGCAAGUAUCAUAGUUGACCUAAGGGCAUUACACAAGCGCAAAGACAUACAGGAUGAAGAUGAGAAUAAGGCUAUUCGGUGGUAAAUUUACUAGGAAGAUGUAAAUGACAAAGUACUACAAGUGAUUUAUCUCUAUCCUUAUUUUGCAUGUAAACCAAUCUAGAGUAACAGACUAGAACAGGGAUACAAGCAAUGAUUCAAGAACACGCCUCAAAGAGCAUGUGAAAAGAGCCACAUAAUACUUCAUAAUUUGGCACAAAAUGGCCUUGAAGGCUAGGUGCAAAGAAGAAACAUAUUGCCAGAAAAUUCAAAAUUAAUACCACACAUUCACAAGAUAAUCACUCUGUAGUCAAUACUCCAUCCUUUUGAAUUUAACCAGCUUGUGUUUCCAUGUAGGAGCUCUUCAUAUGGGAAAAAGUAUUGGUUGUUAUCAUCUCAUGAGGGAAAAUAAUAUUAUUGGUUUCUUAGAAUUCAGUUGAGAAGGAGAAGCUAUGAAACAUAAUUAGGGAACCAAAUAAUAUUCUAGGUUUCCUAGAAUUCAAUUGACGAGUUAAACAAAAGGGAGUGAAAAUAGAGGACAAGAGAGAGAAAGAAGAGAGAAUGAAAGGGGUGCUAAAAAAGAAAUAGAACUAAGGGGGUCACAACACCUCUCUAGUCCUUAUCUCUCUAUUGCUUUAGUUUAAUUGGAUGUAUUGCAACACACCUUAAACCAAUACCAACCUUGCAUCACCAAUUCAGAUUAAAUAACAUCAAGUGAAUAGAAAAAAUAAUAAAAAAUAAAUAAAUGUUGCGGCCAAAAAUAAAUCAGGCACGCCACUAUUGCAAUGUGCCUGAAAAGAGCUGCAUGCGUUGGGUAAUUCACCUGCCUAACCAUGAUAAAGGCACUAGACCAAGUGCUAGUUUAACUUGAGCAUGAGGCAUGCCUUUAACAAGUAUGAUUAAUUGUUAUAUGUAGUUCAACAUGAGCUUGGCACUAUAACAAGCCUAAACACAGAUACAAAUCAACUGGGCUUUUUUUUUUUAAUUUUUUGUCGUCCUAAACUCCAAGAAGAAAAACAUUUGGGAUAUCAAAAAAGAACUUCCUUCUUUUCACUCAUUUGAGACGCUAUAUGUUCUAUAGCUCUUGCUCUUCCCUCAAACUCAUAACACGGAAAUGCAAGAUCAAUACCCAGAUUUCUUGAAAACAGCCAUUCCCACAUGCAUGCAUAUGUGUAUGCUUUAAGAGAGCCAGAGAGAGGAGACAUGCACACACGCAUGGAAAGACAGAAAGAGAGUUCGUACUUAUCCAAUGGGUAUCGUGUGUCUCAGUGAAGUAGCGAUAAAUCCAAUUGAGAAUGUAUAGGGAUCGGUAUGCACCAAGAAGAAAUACAUAUUGCCCCGUCAAGUUGUCAAUAUUUCUAGUUCUUUGUAACAGCACAAGCUGAGGAAGUAUGGCAACAGCUUCUAAAUAUAUGGAAAAUGUCCACAUCACCUAAUCAAUUUUUUUGUGAAGCAUAUAAGAAAGUGAAAAGCAGGGAAAGAAGGCAAAGCUACCUUUCUCAUUUGAAGAUGAAAACUUUUUGCACAUUUAGUCAAGUAGCUCAAAAAUAGACUGUGCAAAGGUAUGCACAGUUAUCACUAGAAAAAAGAAUUAAUAAAAAUAUAAAAUAUGAUGCAAACAAACCUCCUUAAAUGUGAAUUUCUCAUUAAUAACAAGGGCCAAGAGUAAGCAAGGCAGUAUAAGGAAAUAAUGACGGAAGCUGUCCUGAGCUUUAUCAUAAGACCUAUUGACAAUCUUGUGGUUCCUCAUGUACCAAACAAUUGAAAAUGAACUUCCUAAAAAUAUUAGCUUCAUGGUAGUAUUGUAGAGGGAAAUGAAAUCUGUAAAUAUAUCCAAAUAGCGAGUAGCAAAAACAAUAGCAUAGAGUUCUUGAGUCUUCAAAGAAAUGCCAGCGCAGGAUUUGAUGGUGUGGAUCUUGAGGAGCAAAACAAGAACACUGGCCAAAUGGGUCAUGUCCCCAGCUAAUCUGAAUAAAUUCAUCUUCGAUAUAUUUAUAAUUAAUUGUGAUGUAUGUAUAGGUCUCUGGCGUUUGGAUCAACCGGAAAAAGUCUCGCCGGAAAGAUCCAGCUCAAUUUUCUCAGAUCUCCGAUUGACCCAAAAAAAAAAAAAAAUUAGCACAAAUUAAAUAAACAAAUUAUUUCAGUUGCAAACUGGUGGGUUUAGACAUCUAUAUACAGCAGAUGCUGGUUGCUGGUAAGUAGGAAUGCUACUGGUAUCAACAAAUCUGACUUCCCCAGGAUCAAAUGAAAGAUCCCUAUGCCUUCGAAGAUCAAGUCCGACUAAACCAGCUUGUAGAAUUGUUAAAUUGUCAGAAUCUGGAGAGACAAUAAUGAUUGUCUCCCCAGAAUACUGGGUUUCAAGAAUGGACAUAAGUUGUGUCACACGGACAAAUACGUCUGCAACACUCUCAUUUGGGGUGCCAUCAUCUAUGGGAGGAGGCUUGUUUCUUGGAGAAAUAGUAUCUGAUUCAUACACCUGAACCAUUUCCAGACAUGCAACUGCUAAGAAUGUAUUUACACAACACACUCGGCAGCAGCUUAAGUAGGCACAGAGAGAGAAGGGGUUUAGCUGGAUCCUAAAUGCAAUACAUUACAUUCUUGUCUGUACUACAUAGAUCCUUAAAUAAAUUCUUUGGGGGCCAAAAAUAAUCGCAUUGUUAAUUGUUAAAAUUCCCCAAGUAUUUUAAAUGAUUAAUUUCCUUUUGUUGUAUUGUUAAAUUUAUAACGAUCAAAAUAUUAAGUAUACUCAGCAAAAUUUUGUUUAGUUAAUCAAUCAAGUUCUUUUGCAAAAAUUUAAUCUUAUGAAUAGGGUUGCACAAUCGGUCGGUUCGGUUUCAAACCGAACCAAACCAUUAAAAUCGAAUAAACGAAAAAAUAUUUAUGUAAACCGAACCAAACUAAUGGUAAAAUUGAAUCAAACUGAACUGAAAAAAUCAGUUCGGUUUGGCCAAUUGUUUCCAAAACACCUCAAUUACAGAGCCCAACCCCCUCCCAAAUCUGAGCACACUUCCCCGAAUCUUUAAUUCAUCAACAAUACAACAUAAAUCACCAACGCAUAAUGAAAACUAAGAGAUUAACUCAAACUAAAAUUGUGCCAAGUAACUCAAAUACAUCAAACAUGCAAUAAAUUAAAUCAAACCCUCGAGAAAUUCUGCAAAAUCCUCAAUUUCCAAAUAUACAACACUGGAGAGUACAGGGGCAGGAUGGAUCGUUUCAAAUAGUUAGGGUUAGGUUUUGGAAUGGUAAGGGGUAAAAUGUUGUAGUAUUUAAGGGAGAAAAUCAGUUCGGUUCAGUUAAUUCAAUUUUUUUAUUGAAUUGACCAAACCGAACCACCGAAAAUUUUUAUAAAAAUAACAAAAACCAAACCAAAAACCCGAAUUAAAUAGGUUCAAUUCAGUUAAACCCGAUCAAUGCGCACUCCUACUUAUGAAUCCCCAAAUAAUAACUCUUUCCUUUAGCUGAUAGUUCAGAACUUACCAUUCACAAUUACAAAAAUUAUUAUAAUAGUAUUCAAUUUUUACUUCUAAUCCAAAGAGAUUUUGUGUGAGUAAAGAAAAGUAAAUAAACCAAUUCCACUGAGGGCUGAAAUUAAGGAUUGAGGGAUCUAAACGAAAUCCUAAAAGGCAUUGAAGUUAAUUCCAUAAAAUUCCAUAACAACAAAGAGAAAGGGAUUUUACUUCUGAAAGAGCAUCCAAGUUCUUGCCUUCAUAAGCUCCCAAUCCACGAGCAUCCAAGAAGCUAUACUCCGGAACUAUAAAACUACAGCCAACAGGAAACUUUUGACAUUUUAAAACAAUAGGUAGCCAUAAAAUUAUAUCAACAGAUAUCAAAGAAGGUAAUAUCGUCUAAAAAAGAAAAUGAAGUAUGAUGUGCAAAAAUUGGCAAGUGAUAUGGCUAAUGAAACUGAGCUUCAACUUAAACAAUGAACUCCAAAAUUAAAUUCUUCACAAUCCGGAAUAGCCAAAUUUCAAGAAAGGUAAUGUGGCUAUAAAUAACAAAUCUUACAACAUCUGCAUUCCUUCCUUGAUAGUAAUCAGUUCAUUAGACAUUAAUAGUCAGUGAUAAUAAGCAUACCUCCUGGUGAUUCCAUUAAUUGCAGCAAUAAUCUCUGCAGCCUGGUAAGCUCUCUGAGUAAUGGAGGGCCAAAUCCAGCAGCCCCUAUCACAAGCUCCCAUUGCCUUCAAUUCUAAAGCAGCCUUCACAGUCUGCUUCUUUCCUUUCUCUGACAAACCGCUAUCAACCGAUGUUUUCGCAACUGGAUUCGUGUUGAUAAUCCCUAGGCUCUCAAAUUCAGAUUCCCCAGCUCUCACCAAAUAG
This 5025-nucleotide unclassified non-coding RNA is filed under the name Hevea brasiliensis (rubber tree). Lineage: Eukaryota; Viridiplantae; Streptophyta; Magnoliopsida; Malpighiales; Euphorbiaceae. The record is from RNAcentral.